AAAGUCGUAACAAGGUCUCCGUAGGUGAACCUGCGGAGGGAUCAUUAUCGAAUGGCCGCCCGGCCUUCAAACCUCAAAAACCUGUGGAGCAAAGAUGUGCUUCGGCGCUUCAGGCGCCGCUUUAAUGCUGUCAUCAGUUUGUGUCUGAAUGAGACUUGGAUGAAAACUUUCAACAAAGGAUCUCUUGGCUCUU
This 193-nucleotide unclassified non-coding RNA is filed under the name Ascomycota sp. Its description in RNAcentral is "partial contains small subunit ribosomal RNA, internal transcribed spacer 1, and 5.8S ribosomal RNA". The stretch from base 1 to 47 matches the Rfam family "Eukaryotic small subunit ribosomal RNA", at positions 1785 to 1831 of the family's 1831-position model. The record is from RNAcentral. Lineage: Eukaryota; Fungi; Ascomycota.